This 253-nucleotide unclassified non-coding RNA is filed under the name uncultured Bacteroidota bacterium. RNAcentral describes it as "uncultured Bacteroidetes bacterium contains 16S-23S intergenic spacer region". It matches the Rfam family "Bacterial small subunit ribosomal RNA", at positions 524 to 776 of the family's 1533-position model. Lineage: Bacteria; Pseudomonadati; Bacteroidota. The record is from RNAcentral.
UACGGAGGGUGCAAGCGUUGUCCGGAAUCACUGGGUGUAAAGGGUGUGUAGGCGGGACUGUAAGUCAGAGGUGAAAGCCCACGGCUCAACCGUGGAAUGGCCUUUGAUACUGCAGUUCUUGAGUCCUGGAGAGGUCGCUGGAAUUCGUGGUGUAGCGGUGAAAUGCGUAGAUAUCACGAGGAACACCAGAGGCGUAAGCGGGCGACUGGACAGGAACUGACGCUGAGGCACGAAAGCGUGGGGAGCAAACAGG